Molecule: ribosomal RNA, 447 nt
Filed under: uncultured bacterium
Lineage: Bacteria
Description: bacterial SSU rRNA
Rfam family: Bacterial small subunit ribosomal RNA
Source: RNAcentral
UCGGGAAUUUUGGGCAAUGGGCGAAAGCCUGACCCAGCAACGCCGCGUGAAGGAUGAAGUAUUUCGGUAUGUAAACUUCGAAAGAAUGGGAAGAAUAAAUGACGGUACCAUUUAUAAGCUCCGGCUAACUACGUGCCAGCAGCCGCGGUAAUACGUAGGGUGCGAGCGUUAAUCGGAAUUACUGGGCGUAAAGCGUGCGCAGGCGGCCGCGCAAGUCUGGUGUGAAAUCCCCGGGCUUAACCCGGGAAUUGCGCUUGAAACUAUGCGGCUUGAGUGUGGCAGAGGGGGGUGGAAUUCCACGUGUAGCAGUGAAAUGCGUAGAGAUGUGGAGGAACACCGAUGGCGAAGGCAGCCCCCUGGGCCAACACUGACGCUCAGGCACGAAAGCGUGGGGAGCAAACAGGAUUAGAUACCCGCGUAGUCCCUGAGCGGGCUGGCAAGGCGCAU